This 277-nucleotide ribosomal RNA is filed under the name uncultured prokaryote. RNAcentral describes it as "partial 16S ribosomal RNA". It matches the Rfam family "Bacterial small subunit ribosomal RNA", at positions 524 to 801 of the family's 1533-position model. The record is from RNAcentral.
CACGGGGUUGCGAGCGUUGUCCGGAAUUACUAGGCGUAAAGGGCAGGCGGGCGGAUCCAUAAGUUUAUCGUUUAAGGCGUCGGCUUAACCGGCGUAGGGCGGUAGAUACUGUGGAUCUGGAAUGCGGUUGGGGAAGACAGAAUUCCUGGUGUAGCGGUGGAAUGCGCAGAGAUCAGGAGGAAUACCGAAGGCGAAGGCAGUCUUCCAAGCCGUUAUUGACGCUCAACUGCGAAGGUGUGGGUAUCAAACAGGAUUAGAUACCCUGGUAGUCCCUGAG